RNAcentral lists this ribosomal RNA (253 nucleotides) under uncultured bacterium. RNAcentral's name for it is "partial 16S ribosomal RNA". It matches the Rfam family "Bacterial small subunit ribosomal RNA", at positions 524 to 776 of the family's 1533-position model. The record is from RNAcentral.
UACGUAGGGGGCAAGCGUUGUCCGGAUUUAUUGGGCGUAAAGAGCGUGUAGGCGGCUUGGAAGGUCAGCUGUGAAAACUCGAGGCUCAACCUCGAGACGUCGGUUGAAACCACCUGGCUAGAGUCCGGAAGAGGAGAAUGGAAUUCCUGGUGUAGCGGUGAAAUGCGCAGAUAUCAGGAAGAACACCCGUGGCGAAGGCGGUUCUCUGGGACGGUACUGACGCUGAGACGCGAAAGCGUGGGGAGCGAACAGG